AUGAAAUUUUAUUAAAAAAAAUGGGUGAAAAGAACAAAGUUUUGUCCAUCUUUGUUCAUCAUAGCCUAAAGUUAGAGAAGAGAAAGGAGAGGAGAACGCUUUUGAAUGUUCGGUCACUUGGGGAAGAAAAUUGAAGGCAGUUCGUGUGUGGAUCUCGUCAGCAUAUCGUCGCAAACAGGUAAUCCCCAACCAUAGUGGGCUUGGAGCUGUGAGGGAAUUCGGAGUGGCCACCCGUUUUGAAAGUUUGAUUUUCUUCUGGUGAACUGGACAUCCUUUUAAUUACGUUUGAGGUUUUGGACUUUUAAAUGUAAUAAGGACGCUUAUUUAUUUUUGAUGGUUUUUAUAUGUUUUAUUAAGAUAGGUAAUAUUUAUAUUUAACUGUUGAAA
Long non-coding RNA from Gossypium arboreum, 387 nucleotides. RefSeq lists it as uncharacterized. The record is from RefSeq and is a predicted model, not a curated record. The transcript is spliced from 3 exons. Lineage: Eukaryota; Viridiplantae; Streptophyta; Magnoliopsida; Malvales; Malvaceae.